This 429-nucleotide ribosomal RNA is filed under the name Bacteroidota bacterium. RNAcentral describes it as "Bacteroidetes bacterium partial 16S ribosomal RNA". It matches the Rfam family "Bacterial small subunit ribosomal RNA", at positions 355 to 776 of the family's 1533-position model. The record is from RNAcentral. Lineage: Bacteria; Pseudomonadati; Bacteroidota.
UAGGGAAUCUUCGGCAAUGGGGGGAACCCUGACCGAGCAACGCCGCGUGAGUGAAGAAGGUUUUCGGAUCGUAAAGCUCUGUUGUUAAGGAAGAACGAGUGUGAGAAUGGAAAGUUCAUGCUGUGACGGUACUUAACCAGAAAGGGACGGCUAACUACGUGCCAGCAGCCGCGGUAAUACGUAGGUCCCGAGCGUUGUCCGGAUUUAUUGGGCGUAAAGCGAGCGCAGGCGGUUAGAAAAGUCUGAAGUGAAAGGCAGUGGCUCAACCAUUGUAGGCUUUGGAAACUGGUUGACUUGAGUGCAGAAGAGGAGAGUGGAAUUCCAUGUGUAGCGGUGAAAUGCGUAGAUAUAUGGAGGAACACUAGUGGCGAAGGCGACUCUCUGGUCUGUAACUGACGCUGAGGCUCGAAAGCGUGGGUAGCAAACAGG